UCCAUUUGUUUUAUCGGAUACCAACAUCCAAAACUCUGCCAUCUUAUUAGCGCUAAUACUGGGCUCGAUAGAGACUCGGAGGAUCCUUUCUCGGUUCAAUCUGAAUUAGUAAAAAAGCUUCAAUCCUCAGCCCGCUCGGAACUUGGAAGAUUCCGUAAUUUUGUCUUUCAGCAGAUACAGCAGCAGUAGCAGCAGUAGCAGCAGCCCCUCUCCCAUGGCUAUGUCGCUGUCCCCCCAAGAUUUCUGUGUAGUAGAAAAGUGACUCACGUGUCGAACAAAUGGUGUACUUUGUUCGAUGGAUCCAGAGAAAGGAGUCGAGUUUCAAUUAAGGAGAGGUUGUUUGAGGGCUCCGUAGACUUUAAGGGAGGCUCUAUGAUAUAGUUUAUUCGAUGGGAGGAUUGUUGGGAAGGAGUUCCACAUCGACUAAUUAAGAGGAUGAUUAUGGAUUUGUAAGUAAGGAAUGUAUCUCCGUUUAUAGUGAUAUGAGGUCUUUUAAAAAAAAUGAAAAGCAAAGCGGUGAGAUAUUAGUUUUAUAAUUAUAUGUAAGGAUUAUUAAACAGACAGACGCUUUCAAUUAUGAAAUUGGUCCCACCCUUUACACUAUGUUGUCUUUGAUUUUCAAUAUUAAAGAAAUAAAUAAAUAAAUAAAGUCAUUGGUUUGGUUUU
Molecule: long non-coding RNA, 666 nt
Organism: Cucurbita pepo subsp. pepo (vegetable marrow)
Lineage: Eukaryota; Viridiplantae; Streptophyta; Magnoliopsida; Cucurbitales; Cucurbitaceae
Source: RefSeq, a predicted model, not a curated record